RNAcentral lists this ribosomal RNA (484 nucleotides) under uncultured bacterium. RNAcentral describes it as "partial 16S ribosomal RNA". It matches the Rfam family "Bacterial small subunit ribosomal RNA", at positions 30 to 507 of the family's 1533-position model. The record is from RNAcentral.
AUUGAACGCUGGCGGCAGGCCUAACACAUGCAAGUCGAGCGGAUGGAGGGAGCUUGCUCCUGGAUUCAGCGGCGGACGGGUGAGUAAUGCCUAGGAAUCUGCCUGGUAGUGGGGGGUAACGUCCGGAAACGGGCGCUAAUACCGCAUACGUCCUGAGGGAGAAAGUGGGGGAUCUUCGGACCUCACGCUAUCAGAUGAGCCUAGGUCGGAUUAGCUAGUUGGUGGGGUAAAGGCCUACCAAGGCGACGAUCCGUAACUGGUCUGAGAGGAUGAUCAGUCACACUGGAACUGAGACACGGUCCAGACUCCUACGGGAGGCAGCAGUGGGGAAUAUUGGACAAUGGGCGAAAGCCUGAUCCAGCCAUGCCGCGUGUGUGAAGAAGGUCUUCGGAUUGUAAAGCACUUUAAGUUGGGAGGAAGGGCAGUAAGUUAAUACCUUGCUGUUUUGACGUUACCAACAGAAUAAGCACCGGCUAACUUCGUG